GACGAACGCUGGCGGCGCGCCUAACACAUGCAAGUCGAGCGAAGCGGCGAACGGGUGAGUAACGCGUGAGGAACCUGCCUCUUACAACGGGAUAGCCUCGGGAAACCGGGAUUAAUACCGUAUAGUAAGAGAUGGCCUCGAGUCUGGUUCGUUGGUUGGUGGGGUAACGGCCUACCAAGACGACGAUCAGUAACCGGCCUGGGAGGGUGAACGGUCACAUUGGAAUUGAGACACGGUCCAAACUCCUACGGGAGGCAGCAGUGGCGAAUCUUGCACAAUGGGGGAAACCAUGAUGCAGCGACGCCGCGUGAGCGAUGAAGGUUUUCGAAUCGUAAAGCUCUGUCCUAUGGGAAGCGGUACCAUAGGAGGAAGCCCCGGCUAACUACGUGCCAGCAGCCGCGGUAAUUC
Molecule: ribosomal RNA, 408 nt
Filed under: uncultured bacterium
Lineage: Bacteria
Description: partial 16S ribosomal RNA
Rfam family: Bacterial small subunit ribosomal RNA
Source: RNAcentral